Molecule: ribosomal RNA, 646 nt
Filed under: uncultured Porphyromonadaceae bacterium
Lineage: Bacteria; Pseudomonadati; Bacteroidota; Bacteroidia; Bacteroidales; Porphyromonadaceae
Description: bacterial SSU rRNA
Rfam family: Bacterial small subunit ribosomal RNA
Source: RNAcentral
GAGUAGCAUACAACUGGGUGGCGACCGGCGCACGGGUGAGUAACGCGUAUGCAACCUACCUAUCAGAGGGGAAUAACCCGGCGAAAGUCGGACUAAUACCGCAUAAAACAGGGACACCGCAUGGUGAUAUUUGUUAAAGAAAUUCGCUGAUAGAUGGGCAUGCGUUCCAUUAGGUAGUUGGUGAGGUAACGGCUCACCAAGCCGACGAUGGAUAGGGGAACUGAGAGGUUGGUCCCCCACACUGGUACUGAGACACGGACCAGACUCCUACGGGAGGCAGCAGUGAGGAAUAUUGGUCAAUGGGCGAGAGCCUGAACCAGCCAAGUCGCGUGAAGGAAGAAGGAUCUAUGGUUCGUAAACUUCUUUUGCAGGGGAAUAAAGUGCAGGACGUGUCCUGUUUUGUAUGUACCCUGAGAAUAAGGAUCGGCUAACUCCGUGCCAGCAGCCGCGGUAAUACGGAGGAUCCGAGCGUUAUCCGGAUUUAUUGGGUUUAAAGGGUGCGUAGGUGGUUUGAUAAGUCAGCGGUGAAAGUUUGCAGCUUAACUGUAAAAAUGCCGUUGAAACUGUCGGACUUGAGUGUAAAUGAGGUAGGCGGAAUGCGUGGUGUAGCGGUGAAAUGCUUAGAUAUCACGAAGAACUCCGAUUG